AUCCACCCCACCUUGCAGUGUGGAUGCAGGAUGAAGCCCAGCUCUACCUCUGGUCUGAGUUCAGCAUGCACCCACAUUUGAGCGAUGUAUCCCAAAUCGUCACCUGUACAAGAGCAUCUCCGAGAGACUGGCAGAGGAGGGGAUUACGUGGAUGAUAAUUCAGUGAAGGAAGAGCGUUAAAAACCUGAAGGAGGGAGGAAUUAGCAGAGCAGGAAGAGACCCUGGCAGUAGAGGAACCAGCAAAGCUAGAACAGAUCCUGAAGCUACAGCAGACCAGGCAGGCACGGAGGCUGCAAGAUGUCCUCAGCCUGGAAUCCAAGAAUCCAAGGGGCCAGGGAACAGACCGGAGAGGAAGCAAUAUCAGAGCCACAGCCAGGCAUGGUUCUAUCACUUGACAAGCUGCUGAGUCCAUGCAGGCAGCGUGAUUACUUUGCAAGGUUACAGCUCUCACUGAAAGACAAAUGAAAAGGCUUGGAAGAGAACCAGUGAUUCCAAACCUCCAAGGCUGCAAAACCAACUCAUCCAGCAAACCAAGGGACAUGUGGCUGUUAUUCCCAAGAACUGGUAGACAAAGACCCAAUGCUUUAUAUCAUCAGAAACCUUGUAAUCCCAAUAUAGUGAUGUCCUUAGUUGAGACAAACACAUGAACAUCUACUGCUUGGACUAAAGGACCAGAAACUUAGAGGCAGCAGCAGACCCAUUAAGCUCUUACAGAUCCUGCUACCCAAAGAGGCCAGUGAUCAACACUGGGUUAAUGUGACUUACA
Molecule: long non-coding RNA, 766 nt
Organism: Mauremys mutica (yellowpond turtle)
Lineage: Eukaryota; Metazoa; Chordata; Testudines; Geoemydidae
Exons: 6
Source: RefSeq, a predicted model, not a curated record